GGGGCUGUCCCGGAUUCGACAGGCGGACAGAGGGUAACAUAAGCAUACCGAAGGCUCGGCUUCGUAAAAACGGAAAUUAAAAUUAAACGCUAAUAAUAAGCAAGUUGCUAUUGCUGCGUAAUCGCGCAUAGCUGUCGGACGGGGGCUCCACGACCCCGCACCCGGCAUCGGAAAGUGGAACAGGGCUUCGCAGAAGUGUCUCGGUCUGCGUCGCGCCACUCAGGGACUUACCGAAGUAACCUUUGCGGACAGAGGUUAUCAGGAACAUUUAAUUAUCCGAUAAGUAUGUAGAAAGUGUUACGCGAAUUCGUUUGGACAGGAGUUCAACUCUCCUCAGCUCCACCA
This 345-nucleotide transfer-messenger RNA is filed under the name Candidatus Ornithoclostridium faecavium. It matches the Rfam family "transfer-messenger RNA". From Rfam's summary of the family: Bacterial tmRNA, also known as 10Sa RNA or SsrA, is named for its dual tRNA and mRNA-like properties. Lineage: Bacteria; Bacillati; Bacillota; Clostridia; Christensenellales; Christensenellaceae. RNAcentral also lists the same sequence under 2 other names. The record is from RNAcentral.